Molecule: ribosomal RNA, 458 nt
Filed under: uncultured bacterium
Lineage: Bacteria
Description: SSU rRNA
Rfam family: Bacterial small subunit ribosomal RNA
Source: RNAcentral
AGAAUCAACGCUGGCGGCGUGCCUAACACAUGCAAGUCGAACGAGAAAGUGGAGCAAUCCAUGAGUAAAGUGGCGCACGGGUGAGUAACACGUGACUAACCUACCCUCGAGUGGGGAAUAACUUCGGGAAACCGAGGCUAAUACCGCAUAAAACCUAAGGGUCAAAGGAGCAAUCCGUUUGAGGAGGGGGUCGCGGCAGAUUAGUUAGUUGGCGGGGUAAUGGCCCACCAAGACGAUGAUCUGUAUCCGGCCUGAGAGGGCGCACGGACACACUGGAACUGAAACACGGUCCAGACUCCUACGGGAGGCAGCAGUGGGGAAUUUGCGCAAUGGGGGAAACCCUGACGCAGCAACGCCGCGUGGAGGAUGAAAUCCCUUGGGAUGUAAACUCUUUCGAUCGGGAAGAUAAUGACGGUACCGGAAGAAGAAGCCCCGGCUAACUUCGCGCCAGCAGCCGC